AGAGUUUGAUCAUGGCUCAGAUUGAACGCUGGCGGCAGGCUUAACACAUGCAAGUCGAACGGUAACAUGGGUGCUUGCACCUGAUGACGAGUGGCGGACGGGUGAGUAAUGUAUGGGGAUCUGCCGAAUGGAAUGGGAUAACUACUGGAAACGGUAGCUAAUACCGCAUAAUGUCCACGGACCAAAGCGGGGGACCUUCGGGCCUCGCACCAUCAGAUGAACCCAUAUGGGAUUAGCUAGUAGGUGGGGUAAUGGCUCACCUAGGCGACGAUCUCUAGCUGGUCUGAGAGGAUGACCAGCCACACUGGAACUGAGACACGGCCCAGACUCCUACGGGAGGCAGCAGUGGGGAAUAUUGCACAAUGGGCGCAAGCCUGAUGCAGCCAUGCCGCGUGUAUGAAGAAGGCCUUAGGGUUGUAAAGUACUUUCAGUUGGGAGGAAGGCGUUGAUGCUAAUAUCAUCAACGAUUGACGUUACCAACAGAAGAAGCACCGGCUAACUCCGUGCCAGCAGCCGCGGUAAUUC
RNAcentral lists this ribosomal RNA (525 nucleotides) under uncultured bacterium. Its description in RNAcentral is "bacterial SSU rRNA". It matches the Rfam family "Bacterial small subunit ribosomal RNA", at positions 8 to 526 of the family's 1533-position model. The record is from RNAcentral.